This 487-nucleotide ribosomal RNA is filed under the name uncultured bacterium. RNAcentral's name for it is "partial 16S ribosomal RNA". It matches the Rfam family "Bacterial small subunit ribosomal RNA", at positions 28 to 523 of the family's 1533-position model. The record is from RNAcentral.
GAUGAACGCUAGCGGAAGGCAUAAUACAUGCAUGUCGAACGGAUGUAGCAAUACAUUAGUGGCGCACGGGUGCGUAACGCGUAUGCAACCUACCUUCAUCAGGGGGAUAACUACUCGAAAGGGUGGCUAACACCGCAUAAUACUACUGAAUGGCAUCAUUUGGUAUUUAAAUCUGAGGAGGAUGAAGAUGGGCAUGCGUCUGAUUAGCUAGUUGGUGUGGUAACGGCGCACCAAGGCGACGAUCAGUAGGGGAACUGAGAGGUUGGUCCCCCACACUGGCACUGAGAUACGGGCCAGACUCCUACGGGAGGCAGCAGUAGGGAAUAUUGGUCAAUGGUGGGAACACUGAACCAGCCAUUCCGCGUGCAGGAAGAAGGGUCUCUGACUUGUAAACUGCUUUAGCAAGGGAAGAAAAAGCUCAUGCGUGAGAAAUUGACGGUACCUUGAGAAUAAGCACCGGCUAACUACGUGCCAGCCGCCGCGGUAA